Styela clava is the source of this 1570-nucleotide non-coding RNA. NCBI's taxonomy places the organism in Eukaryota, Metazoa, Chordata, Ascidiacea, Stolidobranchia, Styelidae. The record is from RefSeq and is a predicted model, not a curated record.
AGGAAAAUAUAAAUCUCUACAGAAACAUACUGCGUCAUUAUGCUACUUCGGUUUGCGGCGAUCCUUUGGGGGAUAUUUGCCGUAGUAAAUGGCAAUAUUUGUCGGACAGCAGGUGAAUUUUGUUCACAAGUCAAUCAGUUUUGCUUCCAACAAAGUACAGACCAAAUAGAACCUUCGUUUCAGCUACCAAGGGUCGGAAAAGCAGGACCGCAAGGCACAAAGGGUGAUCGAGGACAUCCUGCUGUGGUAAACUACACUGCCAUUGAAGAGAAAAUAGAAAAAAAGUAUCGAGAGAUAGAAGAUCGAAUUGAUGCAAAAUUAUCAAAAUAUGACGCAAUGCUAAAUGAAAAAGUUGCAAAAGAAGAAUUUAAAUAUGAGCUAGACAAGCACCUGCACCACGACUGCAGCGAGGUGUCAAAUGAAGAGGCAAAAACUUGGAACAACAAUGGUGGAGUUGUUGAUAUCUUUCCUAAUAUAAACAAGUACGAAGUUUAUUGCGAUAUUUCCACUGAUGGUAACAAGUGGACGGUAAUUCAAAGAAGACAAGACGGUUCGGUAGAUUUCAAUAGGAAUUGGGCGGACUAUGUCGCAGGAUUUGGAAAUAGAAGUGGAGAAUUCUGGUUAGGUCUGGAAGCCAUUCGCAAAUUAACACAAACUGCAAAUUACGUUUUAAAAAUAGAGUUGACCGACUGGGCCGGACAAACUAGAUAUGCCGAAUAUGGAUCUUUCGCUCUUGGGAGUGCUGAAACAAAAUAUCGCCUGUCUGUCGGUGGUUUUUCGGGAACAGCAGGUGACAGCUUGUCGUACCAUAAUAAGAACAAAUUUUCAACUCCGGAUCAGGACAAUGAUCAACAUUCGAGUAAUUGCGCUUCAGUUCACGGUGGUGGAUGGUGGUUUAAUGCUUGUGAUCAUUCCAAUUUGAAUGGACAAUACCACGUGGGUGGAGCAUAUAGCGGUUCUGAGAAUGGAGUAGAGUGGGAAAAAUGGCCCCACAACGGGCAGUACUCGAUGAAAAAAACCGUCAUGAAGUUGCGACCAAAGAUAUAACGGGACAUUCAGAUCAUAGACAUUUAAUAAUUAAAUGUAACCCACAUGUGUAUAAAAACAACGCAACAACCUUUAUACAAGAUAAAUGUGAUAGCUUGCCCUAUUUUAGCUAUCUCAAAUACAAAAUAAUAUUUUUCAUUCAAUUACGUGUUCUAAUUGACGUCAAUUCUAAUUUUUUAUAGGUUUGUUAUUACCUGUUCGUAUUGAAUAUAUACGAACAUCUCAUAGGAUUUGAAUGCACUCUAUUGGCUUGAUUUCCUACACUAGCAAGACACUCUACGACGGCCAUGGCUCGGUGUUCAAUUUAUUCAUAAAUCGCCCUUAUUGACUCGCUCUGUCUGUGGCUACGAUAACUCUAACUGUUGACGAUAACGAUAACUGUUGUGUUGGGAUCGUGAUAAUGCAAAAUAAGUUCAAAAAUGAAUCAACAUAUUUUAUAAGUCGUGGAAGUAUUGCGAAAAUACCAAUCUUAUAGAUUUUCGUCUCUACGAACAGGCGAAUAAAUUUUGCAUAUAUAUAUAUA